RNAcentral lists this ribosomal RNA (404 nucleotides) under Acidobacteriota bacterium. Its description in RNAcentral is "Acidobacteria bacterium partial 16S ribosomal RNA". It matches the Rfam family "Bacterial small subunit ribosomal RNA", at positions 355 to 776 of the family's 1533-position model. Lineage: Bacteria; Pseudomonadati; Acidobacteriota. The record is from RNAcentral.
UGGGGAAUAUUGCACAAUGGGGGAAACCCUGAUGCAGCGACGCCGCGUGAAGGAAGAAGUAUUUCGGUAUGUAAACUUCUAUCAGCAGGGAAGAAAAUGACGGUACCUGACUAAGAAGCCCCGGCUAACUACGUGCCAGCAGCCGCGGUAAUACGUAGGGGGCAAGCGUUAUCCGGAUUUACUGGGUGUAAAGGGAGCGUAGACGGCAUGGCAAGUCUGGUGUGAAAGGCAGGGGCUCAACCCCUGGAUUGCAUUGGAAACUGUCAGGCUGGAGUGCAGGAGAGGUAAGUGGAAUUCCUAGUGUAGCGGUGAAAUGCGUAGAUAUUAGGAGGAACACCAGUGGCGAAGGCGACUUACUGGACUGUAACUGACGUUGAGGCUCGAAAGCGUGGGGAGCAAACAGG